This 252-nucleotide ribosomal RNA is filed under the name Streptomyces hintoniae. Its description in RNAcentral is "Streptomyces sp. DSM 41014 partial 23S ribosomal RNA". It matches the Rfam family "Bacterial large subunit ribosomal RNA", at positions 457 to 697 of the family's 2925-position model. Lineage: Bacteria; Bacillati; Actinomycetota; Actinomycetes; Kitasatosporales; Streptomycetaceae. The record is from RNAcentral.
CCGCUAAGCCUAAAUAUUCCCUGGUGACCGAUAGCGGAUAGUACCGUGAGGGAAUGGUGAAAAGUACCGCGGGAGCGGAGUGAAAUAGUACCUGAAACCGUGUGCCUACAAGCCGUGGGAGCGUCGGGCAAGCACUUGUGUUUGCCUCGUGACUGCGUGCCUUUUGAAGAAUGAGCCUGCGAGUUUGCGGUGUGUUGCGAGGUUAACCCGUGUGGGGAAGCCGUAGCGAAAGCGAGUCCGAACAGGGCGUUU